RNAcentral lists this ribosomal RNA (253 nucleotides) under uncultured bacterium. Its description in RNAcentral is "partial 16S ribosomal RNA". It matches the Rfam family "Bacterial small subunit ribosomal RNA", at positions 524 to 776 of the family's 1533-position model. The record is from RNAcentral.
UACGGAGGGAGCUAGCGUUGUUCGGAAUUACUGGGCGUAAAGCGCGCGUAGGCGGCUUUGCAAGUUAGAGGUGAAAGCCCGGGGCUCAACCCCGGAAUUGCCUUUAAGACUGCAUCGCUAGAAUCCAGGAGAGGUGAGUGGAAUUCCGAGUGUAGAGGUGAAAUUCGUAGAUAUUCGGAAGAACACCAGUGGCGAAGGCGGCUCACUGGACUGGUAUUGACGCUGAGGUGCGAAAGCGUGGGGAGCAAACAGG